AUACGUAGGUGGCAAGCGUUGUCCGGAUUUAUUGGGCGUAAAGCGAGUGCAGGCGGUCUUUUAAGUCUGAUGUGAAAGCCUUCGGCUCAACCGAAGAAGUGCAUCGGAAACUGGGAGACUUGAGUGCAGAAGAGGACAGUGGAACUCCAUGUGUAGCGGUGAGAUGCGUAGAUAUAUGGAAGAACACCAGUGGCGAAGGCGGCUGUCUGGUCUGUAACUGACGCUGAGGCUCGAAAGUAUGGGUAGC
Molecule: ribosomal RNA, 247 nt
Filed under: uncultured bacterium
Lineage: Bacteria
Description: partial 16S ribosomal RNA
Rfam family: Bacterial small subunit ribosomal RNA
Source: RNAcentral